CACUUUGAAUUAAAAUAUAUAUAUUGCAGC
Molecule: non-coding RNA, 30 nt
Filed under: Cricetulus griseus (Chinese hamster)
Lineage: Eukaryota; Metazoa; Chordata; Mammalia; Rodentia; Cricetidae
Source: RNAcentral